This 202-nucleotide long non-coding RNA is filed under the name Homo sapiens (human). RNAcentral's name for it is "non-protein coding lnc-HEATR6-1:10". The record is from RNAcentral. Lineage: Eukaryota; Metazoa; Chordata; Mammalia; Primates; Hominidae.
CAGGCAGAAGAGUUAUCUUAAGGAUCAUCUUUCCCUAAGAUCGUCAUCCCUUCCUGGAGUUCCUAUCUUCCAAGAUGUGACUGUCUGGAGUUCCUUGACUAGGAAGAUGGAUGAAAACAGCAAGCCUGUGGAUGGAGACUACAGGGGAUAUGGGAGGCAGGGAAGAGGGGUUGUUUCUUUUAAUAAAUCAUCAUUGUUAAAA